AACACUGUUAACCUGCGGUACCUGCGGAAGGAUCAUUACCGAGCGCGGGUCCUUUGGGCCCAACCUCCCAUCCGUGUCUAUUGUACCCUGUUGCUUCGGCGGGCCCGCCGCUUGUCGGCCGCCGGGGGGGCGCCUCUGCCCCCCGGGCCCGUGCCCGCCGGAGACCCCAACACGAACACUGUCUGAAAGCGUGCAGUCUGAGUUGAUUGAAUGCAAUCAGUUAAAACUUUCAACAAUGGA
This 240-nucleotide unclassified non-coding RNA is filed under the name soil metagenome. Its description in RNAcentral is "partial contains 5.8S ribosomal RNA, internal transcribed spacer 2, and large subunit ribosomal RNA". The record is from RNAcentral.